Molecule: microRNA precursor, 103 nt
Filed under: Marmota monax (woodchuck)
Lineage: Eukaryota; Metazoa; Chordata; Mammalia; Rodentia; Sciuridae
Source: RNAcentral
AGUGGGAUUACUGGGUCAAAUGGUGGUUCCAUUCCAGUUUUUUUUAGGCAUCUUCAUACUGUUUUCCAGAGUGGUUGCACCAAUUUGUAGUCCCACCAGCAAU